ACAUGGAAACACCGGUUUCCGUACGAUCAGAGAAGAUAAGCAACGUUGAGCCUGCUCAGUGCCAAGAUGGGUAACAGCUUAGGAAUACCAGCUGCUGUGU
Non-coding RNA from Acanthosepion pharaonis, 100 nucleotides. The record is from the annotation of a GenBank genome assembly. NCBI's taxonomy places the organism in Eukaryota, Metazoa, Mollusca, Cephalopoda, Sepiida, Sepiidae.